This 216-nucleotide unclassified non-coding RNA is filed under the name soil metagenome. RNAcentral describes it as "partial contains small subunit ribosomal RNA, internal transcribed spacer 1, and 5.8S ribosomal RNA". The record is from RNAcentral.
UCUCCGUUGGUGAACCAGCGGAGGGAUCAUUACCGAGUUUACAAACUCCCAAACCCUUUGUGAACCUUACCAUAUUGUUGCUUCGGCGGGACCGCCCCGGCGCCUUCGGGCCCGGAACCAGGCGCCCGCCGGAGGUUACAAACCCUGAAUUUUAGUGUAUCUCUGAGUACAAAAACGAAAUAAUUAAAACUUUCAACAACGGAUCUCUUGGUUCUG